UAUUCAUCAAAUAUAUCCCUUUAAUUUGUAGUAUUUUGCGCGCCCAUGCUUACUGGAAUAGGAUUUAUUUAAUUUACAUAGAUACAUUGACAUUAACUUCACAAGAUCAGACGAUACAUUUAUUUAUGUUCUAAAUAUAUAGAAGCCUAUGCUAUUAAUUGGUAAAAGCUAGGAUCAAGUGCUUGGAGUUCUUUGCUUUGCUUGGAGGGUGGUCUUCCGGUUCUGGUUCCUGCGUGAGGGAAUCACAAUUGAAUAUGAGGUAUAAAAUAAUAAAAACUGAUACUUCGGACGUAAGAAGCUGCGAUUUGGUUUGCUAAGAGGCGGUUCGUUAUAAAAGGUUCAUUACAAAAAUUAGACAAUAUCAGGAUAGCAAUAGUUAAGGAUUAACAUCGGUUGGAAAAAUUGUUACUAGUUUACUUCUUCGCUGUUAGUUAACCAUGCUAUUCUUACAUUUCAAACAUCCUAAGAGAUAAAAACAAAGAUAUAUGGUAUCAAUAGAAAAAAUGCUGAAUUAUUGAACCAUGGUCUUGCUUACCUUGACUUUGAAUUCUUCACUUCAACCACUGCUGUUGUACAUGGAAGCUUAUUUUGCGAUAUCUUGAGUUGCAUAUUAUCCAUAGAUAAGUCACUUGAAUUCUUUGGAUGAAACCUAUUGC
RNAcentral lists this long non-coding RNA (656 nucleotides) under Panicum hallii. RNAcentral's name for it is "long non-coding RNA (PHAL_LNC000384)". Lineage: Eukaryota; Viridiplantae; Streptophyta; Magnoliopsida; Poales; Poaceae. The record is from RNAcentral.